UACGUAGGGGGCUAGCGUUGUCCGGAAUCAUUGGGCGUAAAGCGCGUGUAGGCGGUCCGGUAAGUCCGCUGUGAAAGUCGGGGGCUCAACCCUCGGAUGCCGGUGGAUACUGUCGGGCUUGAGUACGGAAGAGGCGAGUGGAAUUCCUGGUGUAGCGGUGAAAUGCGAAGAUAUCAGGAGGAACACCAAUUGCGAAGGCAGCUCGCUGGGACGUUACUGACGCUGAGACGCGAAAGCGUGGGGAGCAAACAGG
Molecule: ribosomal RNA, 253 nt
Filed under: uncultured bacterium
Lineage: Bacteria
Description: partial 16S ribosomal RNA
Rfam family: Bacterial small subunit ribosomal RNA
Source: RNAcentral